Molecule: ribosomal RNA, 301 nt
Filed under: uncultured bacterium
Lineage: Bacteria
Description: partial 16S ribosomal RNA
Rfam family: Bacterial small subunit ribosomal RNA
Source: RNAcentral
CAGUAGCCGCGGGAAUACGAAGGGUGCAAGCGUUACUCGGAAUUACUGGGCGUAAAGGGCGUGUAGGCGGCCUGGGGCGUCCCAUGUGAAAGGCCACGGCUCAACCGUGGAGGAGCGUGGGAUACGCUCAGGCUAGAGGGUGGGAGAGGGUGGUGGAAUUCCCGGAGUAGCGGUGAAAUGCGCAGAUACCGGGAGGAACGCCGAUGGCGAAGGCAGCCACCUGGUCCACUUCUGACGCUGAGGCGCGAAAGCGUGGGGAGCAAACCGGAUUAGAUACCCCUGUAGUCCCUGUCUCUUAUAA